This 422-nucleotide ribosomal RNA is filed under the name uncultured bacterium. RNAcentral describes it as "bacterial SSU rRNA". It matches the Rfam family "Bacterial small subunit ribosomal RNA", at positions 355 to 774 of the family's 1533-position model. The record is from RNAcentral.
UAAGGAAUAUUGGACAAUGGAGGCAACUCUGAUCCAGCCAUGCCGCGUGAAGGAAUAAGGCCCUAUGGGUUGUAAACUUCUUUUAGACGGGACAAAACCCCUUUACGUGUAAAGGGUUGACGGUACUGUCAGAAUAAGCAUCGGCUAACUUCGUGCCAGCAGCCGCGGUAAUACGAAGGAUGCAAGCGUUAUCCGGAAUUAUUGGGUUUAAAGGGUGCGUAGGCGGACUAAUAAGUCAGUGGUGAAAGCCUGCAGCUUAACUGCAGAAUUGCCAUUGAUACUGUUAGUCUUGAGUACAGUUGAGGUAGGCGGAAUGUGUCAUGUAGCGGUGAAAUGCUUAGAUAUGACACAGAAUACCGAUUGCGAAGGCAGCUUGCUAAGCUGUAACUGACGCUGAGGCACGAAAGCGUGGGGAGCAAACA